RNAcentral lists this non-coding RNA (225 nucleotides) under Dethiosulfatibacter aminovorans. Its description in RNAcentral is "T-box sequence". It matches the Rfam family "T-box leader". From Rfam's summary of the family: Uncharged tRNA acts as the effector for transcription antitermination of genes in the T-box leader family. T-boxes are found upstream of many aminoacyl-tRNA synthetase genes and some amino acid biosynthetic genes usually in Gram-positive bacteria. The anticodon of a specific tRNA base pairs to a specifier sequence within the T-box motif, and the NCCA acceptor tail of the tRNA base pairs to a conserved bulge in the T-box antiterminator hairpin. Lineage: Bacteria; Bacillati; Bacillota; Tissierellia. The record is from RNAcentral.
GCAAAUUCUUUGAUGGAGACAGUUGCUCUGAUCAAUUGCUUGUAGAGAGUCGGUGGCUGGUGAAAACCGACAGCAAAAUCACAGUGAAAAUCACUCCUGAGAAGUGUACCCGAAUUACAGUAAGGUGCACCGGUUAAUCUCGUUAUUGAUUUAGGUUUGUUGGAACUGAAACGAGUGGCUCUUCGGAGCAAUUAGAGUGGUACCGCGGGAUAUCCCGUCUCUGUU